GGUUAAGUUAAUAAGGGCGCACGGUGGAUGCCUUGGCACUAGGAGCCGACGAAGGACGUGACAAACGACGAUAUGCCUUGGGUAGCUGUAAGUAAGCGAUGAUCCAGGGAUUUCCGAAUGGGGGAACCCAACAGGUAGUACCUGUUACCCACAUCUGUUAAGGAUGUGAGGAGGAAGACGCAGUGAACUGAAACAUCUAAGUAGCUGCAGGAAGAGAAAGCAAAAGCGAUUGCCUUAGUAGCGGCGAGCGAAACGGCAGGAGGGCAAACCGAAGAGUUUACUCUUCGGGGUUGUAGGACUGCAAUGUGGACUCAAAGAUUAUAGAAGAAUGAUUUGGGAAGAUCAGCCAAAGAGAGUAAUAGCCUCGUAUUUAAAAUAGUCUUUGUACCUAGCAGUAUCCUGAGUACGGCGGGACACGUGAAAUCCCGUCGGAAUCUGGGAGGACCAUCUCCCAACCCUAAAUACUCCCUAGUGACCGAUAGUGAACCAGUACCGUGAGGGAAAGGUGAAAAGCACCCCGGGAGGGGAGUGAAAUAGAACCUGAAACCGUGUGCCUACAACAAGUUCGAGCCCGUUAAUGGG
Molecule: ribosomal RNA, 582 nt
Filed under: Streptococcus pneumoniae
Lineage: Bacteria; Bacillati; Bacillota; Bacilli; Lactobacillales; Streptococcaceae
Description: bacterial LSU rRNA
Rfam family: Bacterial large subunit ribosomal RNA
Source: RNAcentral